Molecule: ribosomal RNA, 271 nt
Filed under: uncultured bacterium
Lineage: Bacteria
Description: partial 16S ribosomal RNA
Rfam family: Bacterial small subunit ribosomal RNA
Source: RNAcentral
CCGGCGACCGGCGCACGGGUGAGUAACACGUAUGCAACCUGGCCGUGACAGAUGGAUAACCGGGAGAAAUCCCGCCUAAUACAACAUAAUGCCGGGAGGGGACAUCCCCUGUCCGGUCAAAGGGGGCGACCCCGGUCAUGGAUGGGCAUGCGGCGCAUUAGGUAGUUGGUGGGGCAACGGCCCACCAAGCCGACGAUGCGUAGGGGUUCUGAGAGGAAGGUCCCCCACAUUGGAACUGAGACACGGUCCAAACUCCUACGGAAGGCAGCAG